GAUCUUUGACAUACUUGAUACGAACAAUGGCAACGAAAAUUACUCCGCAGGUGAAAUGCCUGCACGUGAUUAACCCAUUGUCGUUAGCCUGCGACCUAAUGUGCGCAGGGCGAAGCCGUGGCAGGCACGGAAUACCUCGAGGCUCGCAAGCCUCCUGACGACAC
RNAcentral lists this small RNA (164 nucleotides) under unclassified sequences. RNAcentral's name for it is "DUF2693 RNA". It matches the Rfam family "DUF2693 RNA". The record is from Rfam by way of RNAcentral.